GGACGAACGCUGGCGGCGUGCUUAACCCAUGCAAGUCGAACGGAAAGGCCCUGCUUUUGUGGGGUGCUCGAGUGGCGAACGGGUGAGUAACACGUGAGUAACCUGCCCUUGACUUUGGGAUAACUUCAGGAAACUGGGGCUAAUACCGGAUAGGAGCUCCUGCUGCAUGGUGGGGGUUGGAAAGUUUCGGCGGUUGGGGAUGGACUCGCGGCUUAUCAGCUUGUUGGUGGGGUAGUGGCAUACCAAGGCUUUGACGGAUAGCCGGCCUGAGAGGGUGACCGGCCACAAUGGGACUGAGAUACGGCCCAGACUCCUACGGGAGGCAGCAGUGGGGAAUAUUGCACAAUGGGCGGAAGCCUGAUGCAGCAACGCCGCGUGCGGGAUGACGGCCUUCGGGUUGUAAACCGCUUUCGCCUGUGACGAAGCGUGAGUGACGGUAAUGGGUAAAGAAGCACCGGCUAACUACGUG
RNAcentral lists this ribosomal RNA (469 nucleotides) under uncultured bacterium. Its description in RNAcentral is "partial 16S ribosomal RNA". It matches the Rfam family "Bacterial small subunit ribosomal RNA", at positions 27 to 507 of the family's 1533-position model. The record is from RNAcentral.